CCUACGGGUGGCUGCAGUGGGGAAUAUUGGACAAUGGGCGAAAGCCUGAUCCAGCCAUGCCGCGUGUGUGAAGAAGGCCUUCGGGUUGUAAAGCACUUUCAGUGGGGAAGAAAGCCUUGGGGCUAAUACCCUCGAGGAAGGACAUCACCCACAGAAGAAGCACCGGCUAACUCCGUGCCAGCAGCCGCGGUAAUACGGAGGGUGCGAGCGUUAAUCGGAAUUACUGGGCGUAAAGCGCGCGUAGGCGGUCUGAUAAGCCGGUUGUGAAAGCCCCGGGCUCAACCUGGGAACGGCAUCCGGAACUGUCAGGCUAGAGUGCAGGAGAGGAAGGUAGAAGUCCCGGUGUAGCGGUGAAAUGCGUAGAGAUCGGGAGGAAUACCAGUGGCGAAGGCGGCCUUCUGGACUGACACUGACGCUGAGGUGCGAAAGCGUGGGUAGCAAACAGGAUUAGAUACCCCUGUAGUC
Molecule: ribosomal RNA, 465 nt
Filed under: Vreelandella stevensii
Lineage: Bacteria; Pseudomonadati; Pseudomonadota; Gammaproteobacteria; Oceanospirillales; Halomonadaceae
Description: partial 16S ribosomal RNA
Rfam family: Bacterial small subunit ribosomal RNA
Source: RNAcentral